GACGAAGGUGGCGAGCGUUGUUCGGAAUCACUGGGCUUAAAGCGCACGUAGGUGGCGGCGUAAGUCGGGUGUGAAAUCCCUCGGCCUAACCGAGGAACUGCGCCCGAUACUGCGUUGCUUGAGGGUCAAAGGGGUGCAUGGAAUUCCCGGUGGAGCGGUGAAAUGCGUUGAUAUCGGGAGGAACGCCGGCGGCGAAAGCGGUGCACUGGUUGACUGCUGACACUCAUGUGCGAAAGCCAGGGGAGCAAACGGG
This 253-nucleotide ribosomal RNA is filed under the name uncultured bacterium. RNAcentral describes it as "partial 16S ribosomal RNA". It matches the Rfam family "Bacterial small subunit ribosomal RNA", at positions 524 to 776 of the family's 1533-position model. The record is from RNAcentral.